RNAcentral lists this transfer RNA (44 nucleotides) under Aristida holathera var. holathera. RNAcentral describes it as "partial tRNA-Phe". It matches the Rfam family "tRNA", at positions 1 to 42 of the family's 71-position model. Rfam says of the family: Transfer RNA (tRNA) molecules are approximately 80 nucleotides in length. Their secondary structure includes four short double-helical elements and three loops (D, anti-codon, and T loops). RNAcentral also lists the same sequence under 2 other names. The record is from RNAcentral. Lineage: Eukaryota; Viridiplantae; Streptophyta; Magnoliopsida; Poales; Poaceae.
GGUCAGGAUAGCUCAGUUGGUAGAGCAGAGGACUGAAAAUCCUC